GACGAACGCUGGCGGCGUGCUUAACACAUGCAAGUCGAACGGAAAGGCCCUGCUUUUGUGGGGUGCUCGAGUGGCGAACGGGUGAGUAACACGUGAGUAACCUGCCCUUGACUUUGGGAUAACUUCAGGAAACUGGGGCUAAUACCGGAUAGGAGCUCCUGCUGCAUGGUGGGGGUUGGAAAGUUUCGGCGGUUGGGGAUGGACUCGCGGCUUAUCAGCUUGUUGGGGGGGUAGUGGCUUACCAAGGCUUUGACGGGUAGCCGGCCUGAGAGGGUGACCGGCCACAUUGGGACUGAGAUACGGCCCAGACGCCUACGGGAGGCAGCAGUGGGGAAUAUUGCACAAUGGGCGGAAGCCUGAUGCAGCAACGCCGCGUGCGGGAUGACGGCCUUCGGGUUGUAAACCGCUUUCGCCUGUGACGAAGCGUGAGUGACGGUAAUGGGUAAAGAAGCACCGGCUAACUACGUGC
This 469-nucleotide ribosomal RNA is filed under the name uncultured bacterium. RNAcentral describes it as "partial 16S ribosomal RNA". It matches the Rfam family "Bacterial small subunit ribosomal RNA", at positions 28 to 508 of the family's 1533-position model. The record is from RNAcentral.